CCUACGGGGGGCAGCAGUGGGGAAUAUUGGGCAAUGGGCGCAAGCCUGACCCAGCAACGCCGCGUGAAGGAAGAAGGCUUUCGGGUUGUAAACUUCUUUUCUGAGGGACGAAGAAAGUGACGGUACCUCUGGAAUAAGCCACGGCUAACUACGGCCCAGCAGCCGCGGUAAGACGAGGGUGGCAAGCGUUUUCCGGAUUUAUUGGGUGUAAAGGGCGGGUAGGCGGGAAAGCAAGUCAGAUGUGAAAACUCGGGGCUCAACCCUGGGCCUGCAUUUGAAACUGUUUGUCUUGAGUGCUGGAGAGGCAAGCGGAAUUCCGUGUGUAGCGGUGAAAUGCGUAGAUAUAAGGAGGAACACCAGUGGCGAAGGCGGAUUGCUGGACAGUAACUGACGCUGAGGCGCGAAAGCGUGGGGAGCAAACAGGAUUAGAUACCCUAGUAGUC
This 443-nucleotide ribosomal RNA is filed under the name uncultured bacterium. RNAcentral describes it as "partial 16S ribosomal RNA". It matches the Rfam family "Bacterial small subunit ribosomal RNA", at positions 338 to 795 of the family's 1533-position model. The record is from RNAcentral.